GACGAACGCUGGCGGCGUGCUUAACACAUGCAAGUCGAACGGAAAGGCCCUGCUUUUGUGGGGUGCUCGAGUGGCGAACGGGUGAGUAACACGUGAGUAACCUGCCCUUGACUUUGGGAUAACUUCAGGAAACUGGGGCUAAUACCGGAUAGGAGCUCCUGCUGCAUGGUGGGGGUUGGAAAGUUUCGGCGGUUGGGGAUGGACUCGCGGCUUAUCAGCUUGUUGGUGGGGUAGUGGCUUACCAAGGCUUUGACGGGUAGCCGGCCUGAGAGGGUGACCGGCCACAUUGGGACUGAGAUACGGCCCAG
RNAcentral lists this ribosomal RNA (308 nucleotides) under uncultured bacterium. RNAcentral describes it as "bacterial SSU rRNA". It matches the Rfam family "Bacterial small subunit ribosomal RNA", at positions 28 to 334 of the family's 1533-position model. The record is from RNAcentral. RNAcentral also lists the same sequence under 1 other name.